GGCGAAUUAGCUCAGUCGGUUAGAGCGGCGGAAUCAUAAUCCGCAGGUCCUGGGUUCGAAUCCCUGAUUCGCCACCA
Molecule: transfer RNA, 77 nt
Filed under: uncultured Caballeronia sp.
Lineage: Bacteria; Pseudomonadati; Pseudomonadota; Betaproteobacteria; Burkholderiales; Burkholderiaceae
Description: tRNA-Met-CAT
Rfam family: tRNA
About the family: Transfer RNA (tRNA) molecules are approximately 80 nucleotides in length. Their secondary structure includes four short double-helical elements and three loops (D, anti-codon, and T loops). Further hydrogen bonds mediate the characteristic L-shaped molecular structure. tRNAs have two regions of fundamental functional importance: the anti-codon, which is responsible for specific mRNA codon recognition, and the 3' end, to which the tRNAs corresponding amino acid is attached (by aminoacyl-tRNA synthetases). tRNAs cope with the degeneracy of the genetic code in two manners: having more than one tRNA (with a specific anti-codon) for a particular amino acid; and 'wobble' base-pairing, i.e. permitting non-standard base-pairing at the 3rd anti-codon position.
Source: RNAcentral